GACAGAGGGUGCAAACGUUGUUCGGAAUUACUGGGCGUAAAGCGCGUGUAGGCUGCUCUGCAAGUCGGGUGUGAAAGCCUGGGCUCAACCUAGGAAGUGCCCUCGAAACUGCAGAGCUGGAGUCCUGGAGAGGAAGGCGGAAUUCUCGGUGUAGAGGUGAAAUUCGUAGAUAUCGAGAGGAACACCGGUGGCGAAGGCGGCCUUCUGGACAGUGACUGACGCUGAGACGCGAAAGCGUGGGGAGCAAACAGG
Molecule: ribosomal RNA, 252 nt
Filed under: uncultured bacterium
Lineage: Bacteria
Description: partial 16S ribosomal RNA
Rfam family: Bacterial small subunit ribosomal RNA
Source: RNAcentral